RNAcentral lists this non-coding RNA (29 nucleotides) under Mus musculus (house mouse). The record is from RNAcentral. Lineage: Eukaryota; Metazoa; Chordata; Mammalia; Rodentia; Muridae.
UCACCAUUGAAAUGACCACUGGCUUGGAC